This 413-nucleotide ribosomal RNA is filed under the name uncultured bacterium. RNAcentral's name for it is "bacterial SSU rRNA". It matches the Rfam family "Bacterial small subunit ribosomal RNA", at positions 505 to 916 of the family's 1533-position model. The record is from RNAcentral.
GUGCCAGCAGCCGCGGUAAAACGUAGGGGGCGAGCGUUAUCCGGAAUCACUGGGCGUAAAGGGCGUCUAGGCGGCACGUCAAGUCUUGCGUGAAAUCUCCUGGCUCAACUAGGAGAGUGCGUGGGAAACUAGCGAGCUAGAGACGUGGAGGGGUGCACGGAAUUCCCGGUGGAGUGGUGGAAUGCGUUGAGAUCGGGAGGAACACCAGAAGCGAAGGCGGUGCACUGGCCACGGACUGGCGGCUGAAGCGCGACAGCGUGGGGAGCGAACGGGAUUAGAUACCCCGGUAGUCCACGCUGUAAACGAUGACGACUAGGUGUGGGAGGGUCAGUCUCUUCCGUGCCGCAGCUAACGCAUUAAGUCGUCCGCCUGGGGAGUACGGCCGCAAGGUUGAAACUCAAAGGAAUUGACGG